UACGAAGGGGGCAAGCGUUGUUCGGAAUUACUGGGCGUAAAGGGCGCGUAGGCGGUCUAUCAAGUCAGGCGUGAAAUUCCCGGGCUCAACCUGGGGGCUGCGCUUGAUACUGAUGGACUUGAAUGCGGGAGAGGAUAGUGGAAUUCCCAGUGUAGAGGUGAAAUUCGUAGAUAUUGGGAAGAACACCAGUGGCGAAGGCGGCUAUCUGGCCCGUGAUUGACGCUGAGGCGCGAAAGCGUGGGGAGCAAACAGG
This 253-nucleotide ribosomal RNA is filed under the name uncultured bacterium. RNAcentral describes it as "partial 16S ribosomal RNA". It matches the Rfam family "Bacterial small subunit ribosomal RNA", at positions 524 to 776 of the family's 1533-position model. The record is from RNAcentral.